GAUGAACGCUAGCGGCAGGCCUAACACAUGCAAGUCGAGGGGCAGCACAAAUGAAGCUUGCUUUAUUGGUGGCAACCGGCGCACGGGUGCGUAACGCGUAUGCAACCUACCCUGUACUGGGGUAUACCCCGGAAAAAUUCGAAUUAAUCCCCCAUAGUAUUAUUGAAUCGCAUGAUUUGAUACUUAAAGGUUACGGUACAGGAUGGGCAUGCGUCCUAUUAGCUAGAUGGUAAGGUAACGGCUUACCAUGGCAACAAUAGGUAGGGGGCCUGAAAGGGUGGCCCCCCACACUGGUACUGAAACACGGACCAAACUCCUACGGGAGGCAGCAGUGAGGAAUAUUGGUCAAUGGGCGCAAGCCUGAACCACCCAUGCCGCGUGCAGGAAAACGGUCCUAUGGAUUGUAAACUGCUUUUAUUUGGAAAUAAACCUCUUUACGUGUAGAGAGCUGAAGGUACCAAAUGAAUAAGCACCGGCUAACUCCGUG
This 487-nucleotide ribosomal RNA is filed under the name uncultured bacterium. Its description in RNAcentral is "bacterial SSU rRNA". It matches the Rfam family "Bacterial small subunit ribosomal RNA", at positions 28 to 507 of the family's 1533-position model. The record is from RNAcentral.